CUUCUCUCUAUAUGGCUUAUGCUGAGUUGCAACAGUGCUUGCCGCCUGGCAUCUUUGUUUUUGGCAGCUGUAGUCACACAAUGGUUCUUUUAAGGAGACAUCUAUACAACAGAUAUUUUGAUGCCUAGUACAUGCCAUUUAAACUACUGUCAUCGGAUCUUGACCCAUUUAGGCACUACACUGAUGAAGAAUUUUAACAAAUAAUCCGCAACCCUUUUGCCAAUGAGUUGCCUGUGCAGUAUUUCGUGCCUUAUCGUUGUGUGGGUUAUUGCAUGCCAUAGUGCUCUGUUGUGCAAGAACCCUUUACUGACACUCAAGGAGGUAAUUAACGGGCAAAGGGGGGAGGGUGGAAGGUUGACACGCCUCCUAAUUCUGAUUUUAACUGGAAUAAUCUGAAUAAUGUUAUCCACAUGCAUCGACAGCAAAGAAGUCCUAACUUUGUCAGAGGCAAAACUAAAACCUGAGGAUGGUUUAGACCCCUGCAUUUUUUUUUAUCGCAAUAUAAGUACUUACGUAGCGAAGUUUGACAAACAUCACGUGUCGCCAUCAGACCUUGAUUACGACACAAUGAAAUGUAAAGCUUUGGAAACAGUAAAUUGAAGUAAAGAAACGUUCGCACCCGCCAGGCAGUGUGGUGACGGACGGCAUUUUUACAGAAUAUACCCUCGGUCACCCACUUCGCGUCAAGUAUCAUGGAGCCGAUAUAUCAGCGAUUUGUAAGAUCGUUUUCUGCUACAGCAUAAUUGUUGCAAUUUGUUCAGCCUCUUUGAUAAGCCCUGCAAAACCAAAAUGCUAGAUGCACUAUUUUAUUCGAUUUUGUUUUUCGAUAUGGAUGUCGCCUCUGUCAAUCUAUUUGCUUUAUGGUGACGUUAUAUACAGUAGAAUGUGGCGCAGACGCUUAAAGGAUACGCAAAUCGUAGCGUGAGAAGGACACAUGAUAUCUCCCCCUCUACCCAGUAAGCAGCGGGUAUGAAUGGGCAUUUAAAACUUUACCCUCUUUAGGAGUAUAUAUAUAUGUGUGUGUGUGUGUGUGUGUGUGUGUGUGUGUGUGUGUGUGUGUGUGUGUGUGUUUAUUCACCAUUCCUGCAUCACGCACCCUGUUCUCAUCAUUGAAAAGCAGUGUUGCCUAUUUUCCGCGCAACACAUAAGGGCUGUUGCACAACUCCGGCAUUAGUCGUGUUGUGGCAGAUCUAGCGUGAGGUGCCAUUACUCUUUUCCGUGAAGGGAGUAAAAGAGAAAAUGUUAAGAUAAUAAUAAUAAGAAGAAUGAACAGAGAAAUGUGACAAAUUGAGAGGAACGUAGCUGCUACUCGGAGUUUUCUUGGAAUUAACACAUCUAGGAAUUUAUAAACAUGAGUCAUCAGCAACCCAGCGGCUUGUUCGGGCCCCUAAACACCCACUAUAGAUCCCUCAAGCGCGUUUAUAUGAACCUCAAGAGAGGCGUGGAGAUUUCGCUUCGCUUCGUCAAUGCUCUGGUAAGAGUAUUCACGCCGAUCAUCUUUUGCUUCUUCUUCGUCUUUAGAAUCGUGGAUAAAAUCGGCAAGUACCUCUCGUGGAUGGCUUACCUUCCGCUCAGGAGUAAGACGGGGAAGGAGGCUGCAGAGGCUGGCGAAGAGCUGCGUCAGAAGAGAAAUGUUUGUGGAGGACCAGACGAUAUGACAAGAGACAGAAAAAAUGGAACCUUCGAAACGUAGUUGAGAAUAAAUUUCUUCGAAUAAACAUGAUUAUAUAACUGACAUAAGUACUUUAUGCAAUGGUUAAAUGGUCUUUGAUAUUGGUUAGAAUCAAUAUAGAAUGCUUG
RNAcentral lists this unclassified non-coding RNA (1800 nucleotides) under Penaeus chinensis. RNAcentral's name for it is "uncharacterized LOC125025997, transcript variant X4". Lineage: Eukaryota; Metazoa; Arthropoda; Malacostraca; Decapoda; Penaeidae. The record is from RNAcentral.